CCCUAUGGGGUGCAGCAGGCGGCACCGGCACGCAUUUACUGGUAGUAGCAUCAGUCAGCCAUGUUGAAUUUUUAUAAGCAGGAUUAAAAGACGCCAUGCGGAUCUCCAUGGCCAUCAAAUCAAGAACAGCCCGCGUAUCCUGCUGGGCUAUGACUUUGCGAUCCAGACUGGUUGAUGUUUUCUGGGCUGUCGUCAUUAAUCCAUAGAUUGCAGCCAUAAUGAUGGCUCCCACGGCCAUGGCUAUUAAGACUUCCACCAAUGUAAAACCUUUAUUUCUCAUAUUAACGAUAUCCAUUCCAGUCAUUGCUGAAAACCCGCCUGCUGAGUGGCAAUUAAACUGUUUGCAAUCCCCGUUGGAUUUCCCGUCCAGCUCACUCUCGUAUUAAUGAUCCAUGAAUUGGCGGGGGGGC
RNAcentral lists this ribosomal RNA (410 nucleotides) under uncultured prokaryote. RNAcentral describes it as "partial 16S ribosomal RNA". The record is from RNAcentral.